Asparagus officinalis (garden asparagus) is the source of this 352-nucleotide long non-coding RNA. RefSeq lists it as uncharacterized. The transcript is spliced from 3 exons. The record is from RefSeq and is a predicted model, not a curated record. NCBI's taxonomy places the organism in Eukaryota, Viridiplantae, Streptophyta, Magnoliopsida, Asparagales, Asparagaceae.
GCCCAGAAAUCAUAAAAUAAGAUUAUUUGCAGCUGACUUUAGAGUUCGGAUAUAAAGAUUAAGGAGACAAGAAAGCUUGGUGCUUGGUGAUAUAAAACCUCAACAAGUAGUAUCCAUGCACAAGUAGCAGAAACUACAUGAAGUAUCUGGCAAUAUGCAAAUUCAUAUCUUCAUUCGUUACAAGGGCACUGAUGCCGCUAUAUAUCCACCCUACUUACACUCCAAGGGAGAUGAUUUACAUGCAUUGACAAGACAUGGCCACUGGCAGCAUGCUACUUUAAUUCAUUAUGCCUUUGAUGAUGUGAAGUUAAAGUUUGAGCGUACUAUGUAAAGAAGACAGUAAAUAUGUUUA